This 987-nucleotide small RNA is filed under the name Histoplasma capsulatum. Its description in RNAcentral is "hypothetical RNA". RNAcentral also lists the same sequence under 1 other name. Lineage: Eukaryota; Fungi; Ascomycota; Eurotiomycetes; Onygenales; Ajellomycetaceae. The record is from RNAcentral.
CCAAUCUAUCUACCACUGCUAAUCUAUACCGCUGCCAACCUACCUAUCGCUGCUAAUCUAUCGCUGCUGCCAAUCUACCUACCGCUGCCAACCUAUCUAUCACUGCCAAUCUAUCUACCACUGCUAAUCUAUCGCUGCUAAUCUAUCGCUGCUAAUCUAUUGCUGCUAAUCUAUCUAUCACUGCUAAUCUAUCGCUGCCAACCUACCUACCGCUGCCAAUCUAUCUACCACUGCCAAUCUACCUACUGCUGCCAACCUACCUAUCACUGCUAAUCUAUCACUGCUAAUCUAUCGCUGCUAAUCUAUUGCUGCUAAUCUAUUGCUGCUAAUCUACCUACUGCUGCCAACCUAUCUAUCACUGCCAACCUAUCUACCACUGCUAAUCUAUUGCUGCUAAUCUAUCUAUCACUGCUAAUCUAUCGCUGCCAACCUAUCUACUGCUGCCAAUCUAUCUACCACUGCCAAUCUAUCUACCGCUGCCAACCUAUCUACCACUGCUAAUCUAUCACUGCUAAUCUAUCGCUGCUAAUCUAUUGCUGCUAAUCUAUCACUGCUAAUCUAUUGCUGCUAAUCUAUCUAUCACUGCUAAUCUAUCGCUGCCAACCUACCUACCGCUGCCAACCUACCUACCGCUGCCAACCUACCUACCGCUGCCAACCUAUCUACCGCUGCCAACCUAUCUACCACUGCUAAUCUAUCACUGCUAAUCUAUCGCUGCCAAUCUAUAUAGGGUAAAUCAUGGUCCCAUUUGGUCCCAUUUUGUAAAAUGGAAUCAAAUGGAACUGGGAUCACUAAUUUAUUAAUAAAACAUGAUCUGAGACUAGAUUUAUAAUAUAAACAGUGUAAAGUGACUAAUUUACUAAAUACUAUAUGGGAUCAGAACUAAGAUAUCUAAUAAUGAAACUGAGGAAAAAUUUGGUCCCAGUUCCAUGCAUGGUCACACAGUCAGUCUAAAUAUCAAGAAGAUAUUAGAAAAAUUAGAGCUCA